GACGAACGCUGGCGGCGUGCCUAAUACAUGCGAGUUGAGCGAUGAAGCUUGGUGCUUGCCCCAAUUUGAAGAGCAGCGAACGGGUGAGUAACGCGUGGGGAAUCUGCCUUUGAGCGGGGGACAACAUUUGGAAACGAAUGCUAAUACCGCAUAACAACUUUAAACAUAAGUUUUAAGUUUGAAAGGUGCAAUUGCAUCACUCAAAGAUGAUCCCGCGUUGUAUUAGCUAGUUGGUGAGGUAAAGGCUCACCAAGGCGAUGAUACAUAGCCGACCUGAGAGGGUGAUCGGCCACAUUGGGACUGAGACACGGCCCAAACUCCUACGGGAGGCAGCAGUAGGGAAUCUUCGGCAAUGGACGAAAGUCUGACCGAGCAACGCCGCGUGAGUGAAGAAGGGUUUCGGAUCGUAAAACUCUGUUGGUAGAGAAGAACGUUGGUGAGAGUGGAAAGCUCAUCAAGUGACGGUAACUACCCAGAAAGGGACGGCUAACUACGUG
Molecule: ribosomal RNA, 497 nt
Filed under: uncultured bacterium
Lineage: Bacteria
Description: partial 16S ribosomal RNA
Rfam family: Bacterial small subunit ribosomal RNA
Source: RNAcentral